Cynocephalus volans (Philippine flying lemur) is the source of this 165-nucleotide small nuclear RNA. RefSeq annotates it as U1 spliceosomal RNA. The record is from RefSeq and is a predicted model, not a curated record. The transcript has a single exon. Lineage: Eukaryota; Metazoa; Chordata; Mammalia; Dermoptera; Cynocephalidae.
GGACUUACAUGGCAGGGGAAAUACCAUGAUCAUGAGGGUGGCUUUGCCAGGAUGAAGCUUAUCCUGUUGCACUCGGGAUGUGCUGACCCCUGAGAUUUCCCCAGAUGUGGGAAAUUUGCCUGCACAAUUUGUGGUAGUGAGGGACUGUGGUAGUGAGGGUUUAAA